GACGAACGCUGGCGGUGUGCUUAACACAUGCAAGUGGUGCGACGAACCAGAGCUUGCUCUGGGGCAAAGCCGCGAACGGGUGAGUAACACGUGGGUAAUCUACCCCGAUGACCGGGACAACCCGAGGAAACUCGGGCUAAUACCGGAUGUGGUACGGAGACAUAAGUCUCUUUACUAAAGGUAGCUUCGGCUUCCGCAUUGGGAGGGGCCCGCGGCCCAUUAGCUAGUUGGUGGGGUCAAGGCCUACCAAGGCAACGAUGGGUAGCUGGUCUGAGAGGACGAUCAGCCACACUGGGACUGAGACACGGCCCAGACUCCUACGGAGGCAGCAGUGGGGAAUCUUGCGCAAUGCGCGAAAGCGUGACGCAGCAACACCGCGUGAGGGAAGACGGCCUUAGGGUUGUAAACCUCUUUCAGAUGGGACGAAGGUGAUGCGGUGAAUAGCCGAUGUCAUUGACGGUACGUCAGAGAAGCUCCGGCUAACUACGUGCCAGCAGCCGCGGUAAU
Molecule: ribosomal RNA, 507 nt
Filed under: uncultured bacterium
Lineage: Bacteria
Description: bacterial SSU rRNA
Rfam family: Bacterial small subunit ribosomal RNA
Source: RNAcentral